GGUGAGUAACACGUGGAUAACCUACCUAUAAGACUGGGAUAACUUCGGGAAACCGGAGCUAAUACCGGAUAAUAUUUUGAACCGCAUGGUUCAAAAGUGAAAGACGGUCUUGCUGUCACUUAUAGAUGGAUCCGCGCUGCAUUAGCUAGUUGGUAAGGUAACGGCUUACCAAGGCAACGAUGCAUAGCCGACCUGAGAGGGUGAUCGGCCACACUGGAACUGAGACACGGUCCAGACUCCUACGGGAGGCAGCAGUAGGGAAUCUUCCGCAAUGGGCGAAAGCCUGACGGAGCAACGCCGCCCGUGAGUGAUGAAGGUCUUCGGAUCGUAAAACUCUGUUAUUAGGGAAGAACAUAUGUGUAAGUAACUGUGCACAUCUUGACGGUACCUAAUCAGAAAGCCACGGCUAACUACGUGCCAGCAGCCGCGGUAAUACGUAGGUGGCAAGCGUUAUCCGGAAUUAUUGGGCGUAAAGCGCGCGUAGGCGGUUUUUUAAGUCUUGAUGUGAAAGCCCACGGCUCAACCGUGGAGGGUCAUUGGAAACUGGAAAACUUGAGUGCAGAAGAGGAAAGUGGAAUUCCAUGUGUAGCGGUGAAAUGCGCAGAGAUAUGGAGGAACACCAGUGGCGAAGGCGACUUUCUGGUCUGUAACUGACGCUGAUGUGCGAAAGCGUGGGGAUCAAACAGGAUUAGAUACCCUGGUAGUCCACGCCGUAAACGAUGAGUGCUAAGUGUUAGGGGGUUUCCGCCCCUUAGUGCUGCAGCUAACGCAUUAAGCACUCCGCCUGGGGAGUACGACCGCAAGGUUGAAACUCAAAGGAAUUGACGGGGACCCGCACAAGCGGUGGAGCAUGUGGUUUAAUUCGAAGCAACGCGAAGAACCUUACCAAAUCUUGACAUCCUUUGACAACUCUAGAGAUAGAGCCUUCCCCUUCGGGGGACAAAGUGACAGGUGGUGCAUGGUUGUCGUCAGCUCGUGUCGUGAGAUGUUGGGUUAAGUCCCGCAACGAGCGCAACCCUUAAGCUUAGUUGCCAUCAUUAAGUUGGGCACUCUAAGUUGACUGCCGGUGACAAACCGGAGGAAGGUGGGGAUGACGUCAAAUCAUCAUGCCCCUUAUGAUUUGGGCUACACACGUGCUACAAUGGACAAUACAAAGGGCAGCGAAACCGCGAGGUCAAGCAAAUCCCAUAAAGUUGUUCUCAGUUCGGAUUGUAGUCUGC
This 1220-nucleotide ribosomal RNA is filed under the name Staphylococcus aureus. RNAcentral's name for it is "bacterial SSU rRNA". It matches the Rfam family "Bacterial small subunit ribosomal RNA", at positions 105 to 1308 of the family's 1533-position model. Lineage: Bacteria; Bacillati; Bacillota; Bacilli; Caryophanales; Staphylococcaceae. The record is from RNAcentral.